UGGAAGCUCCGCCCAUGCCAUCCCGUGUCAUCCCAUGCCACACCACUCCCGAAUUUUUUUUCAUGUCACACUGCCCGUCUGCCUGCCUCCAGCAGCAGCAACGGCAGCACCCCACAGAACCCAUCCUCCUCCUCCAAAAAAUUACUUGCCCGCAUGCCUGCUGCUGUUGCUGAUGCACAGCUUUCGACGAUGUCGCGACCACCUCCGCAACUCACUCUCACUGCACCACCCCCCUCCCCAACCCAGCCGAACCCAAGCUGUUACAUCUUACCGCGGCUACUAUUCUUACUCUGAAGGUGGGUUUUUUAAAUGUUAGUUGAUAUUUCCGGCAGUUGUGUUGUGUUGUGCGGGUGAGGUUGUUUUUAUUCACACACACACACAUAUAUAGAUAUAUAUAUAUAUAUAUAUAUAUUACGUAUAUAUUCGCAAUCUAACUGUGAAUCAAGUUGGUCCUGGCUGGGUUUGGUAGAGCUGGGCUUGGCAUU
This 485-nucleotide long non-coding RNA is filed under the name Physcomitrium patens. Its description in RNAcentral is "long non-coding RNA (PPAT_LNC011122)". The record is from RNAcentral. Lineage: Eukaryota; Viridiplantae; Streptophyta; Bryopsida; Funariales; Funariaceae.